CACCCUAAAGCUAGCCCAAUAUCUCAACACAAUUUAAAAACAUCAAUAACCCCUAAAAACCUAUAAAAAUAUUAAAUAAACCAUUCUCCCCCUUUAGUAUAGGCGAUAGAAAAAGACAUAAGAGCGAUAGAAAAAGUACCGCAAGGGAAUGCUGAAAAAGAAAUGAAAGAACCCAGAGAAGUAUAAAAAAGCAGAGAUUAAAACUCGUACCUUUUGCAUUAUGAUUUAGCCAGCAAUCCCAAGCAAAGAGCCCUUCAGUUUGAGCCCCGAAACUAAGCGAGCUACUCCAAGACAGCCUAUAAAUUAGGGCGAACCCGUCUCUGUGGCAAAAGAGUGGGACGAGCUUUGAGUAGAGGUGAUAAACCUACCGAGCCUAGUAAUAGCUGGUUGCCUGGGACUUGGAUAAGAGUUCAGCCUCCCAGCUCUUUCCCCCGCACUUUAAUUUAUACUGUCGACCAGAAAGAAACCGGGAGAGUUAAUCAAAGGGGGUACAGCUCCUUUGAUAAAAGACACAACUUUUUCAAGAGGAUAAAGAUUAUAAUACAAGACUAUAUACUUAGGUGGGCCUAAAAGCAGCCAUCCUGAUAGAAAGCGUUACAGCUCAAGUAUAAUUCCCAUUUUAUCCCAAUAAAACAAUCUUAUUCCCUUAAAUAUACCAGGCCCUUCCAUGCAAGCAUGGAAAAGAUUAUGCUAAUAUGAGUAAUAAGAGGGGACAGCCCCUCUCCCCGCACAGGUGUAAAUCGGAACGGACAAUCCGCCGAGCUUUAACGGCCCCAACCAAAGAGGGCAAUGAACAAAAACUAAAUAACAGGGAAACCCCCCAAAAGUUAACCGUUAACCCCACACUGGUGUGCUCCAAGGGAAAGACUAAAAGAAAGAGAAGGAACUCGGCAAACACAUGAAGCCUCGCCUGUUUACCAAAAACAUCGCCUCUUGCAAUUAACGAAUAAGAGGUCCCGCCUGCCCUGUGACUUAGUUUAACGGCCGCGGUAUUUUGACCGUGCGAAGGUAGCGUAAUCACUUGUCUCUUAAAUGGGGACCUGUAUGAACGGCAUAACGAGGGCUUAACUGUCUCCUCUAUCUAGUCAGUGAAAUUGAUCUCCCCGUGCAGAAGCGGGGGUAAAAACAUAAGACGAGAAGACCCUAUGGAGCUUUAGACACCAGAACAGACUAUGUCAAGCAAUCUUUAACACAAGCAAAAACUAAAUAUACUACUAUUCCAACGUCUUCGGUUGGGGCGACCAUGGGGCAAUAAAAAGCCCCCACGUGGAACGGAAGCACGCCUUCUACAACUAAGAGCCCCAGCUCUAAUUAACAGAAUUUCUGACCAUAAAGAUCCGGCGAAGCCGAUCAACGGACCAAGUUACCCUAGGGAUAACAGCGCAAUCCCCUCCUAGAGACCCUAUCGACGGGGGGGUUUACGACCUCGAUGUUGGAUCAGGACAUCCUAAUGGUGCAACCGCUAUUAAGGGUUCGUUUGUUCAACGAUUAAAGUCCUACGUGAUCUGAGUUCAGACCGGAGUAAUCCAGGUCGGUUUCUAUCUAUGACACAUUCUUUUCUAGUACGCAAGGACCGAGAAGAAGGGGCCCAUGUUAAAGACACGCCCCUCCCUUACCUAAUGAAAACAACUAAAAUAGACAAAAGGAGCACUCCUCUUUCGCCUAAAAUAACGGCAC
Molecule: ribosomal RNA, 1677 nt
Filed under: Thaumatichthys pagidostomus
Lineage: Eukaryota; Metazoa; Chordata; Actinopteri; Lophiiformes; Thaumatichthyidae
Description: 16S rRNA
Rfam family: Bacterial large subunit ribosomal RNA
Source: RNAcentral